This 558-nucleotide ribosomal RNA is filed under the name Triticum aestivum (bread wheat). Its description in RNAcentral is "partial small subunit ribosomal RNA". The record is from RNAcentral. Lineage: Eukaryota; Viridiplantae; Streptophyta; Magnoliopsida; Poales; Poaceae.
GCCCACUCCCGGCAAGGGAGUCGUUGUUCCCGGCAAGCGUCGCACCCCGGCAAGGCACCAAACCACCUCACCCUCUCCCACCACCUGAAGCCGUAGCCACAAGAUCCCCUCGCUAACCCUGGUCGCAGGUGCGAAGAGAAAGGGGCGAGGAGAAUCUCUUGGACCAACGCUAACCCUGGUCGCAGGUUUCUGAACUGCCAAAAAUCUCGUGACGGAGGUUGCAAGUGGUUUGAGUGGUUUGAUGACCCUACUACACCAUUCCUUCGCCAACUUUUGGUCGAUUUGCGUGACACGGUGCACAACCUGCGGAGGGAGAACGCUCGGCUCAAUUGAAUCAACGCGGACCUUGAAAUGGGGAUUGAGGAACGAAGCUCCACUAAUAUUUCUUUGCGGGAUGCAUUGCGCAAGACGAAGGAACGAAAUAAGGCUCUCGAAGAAAAGUUGGGUCAGACUGAAGCCCUUCUCAAGGAAAAGGCAAAUGGACAGCAGAAGCGGAUGCUUUUUAGUGUGAUUUUGUUAGUGUUCCUCCUGUUUCUAGCUAGCAAGCUUGCAGCUUAG